GACGUAGGGCGCGAGCGUUGUCCGGAAUCAUUGGGCGUAAAGCGCGUGUAGGCGGCUCGGUAAGUCUGCUGUGAAAGUCCAGGGCUCAACCCUGGGAUGCCGGUGGAUACUGUCGAGCUCGAGUCCGGAAGAGGCGAGUGGAAUUCCUGGUGUAGCGGUGAAAUGCGCAGAUAUCAGGAGGAACACCGAUGGCGAAGGCAGCUCGCUGGGACGUGACUGACGCUGAGACGCGAAAGCGUGGGGAGCAAACAGG
RNAcentral lists this ribosomal RNA (253 nucleotides) under uncultured bacterium. Its description in RNAcentral is "partial 16S ribosomal RNA". It matches the Rfam family "Bacterial small subunit ribosomal RNA", at positions 524 to 776 of the family's 1533-position model. The record is from RNAcentral.